AAGUCGUAACAAGGUUUCUGUAGGUGAACCUGCAGAAGGAUCAUUAGUGAAGAUUUGGGCAGGCCAUACGGACGCCAAAAAAGUGUCCCUGGCCGCCUACACCCACUAUACAUCCACAAACCCGUGUGCACUGUCUUGGAGAAAGGCUUCUUGAGAAGUUUUGUGGCCUCUCUUGGGGUCUUUCUUCGCUACAAACUCGAAUGGUUAGUAUGAACGUGGAACUUGGUUGGACCGUCACUGGCCAACAAACUAUACACAACUUUCGACAACGGAUCUCUUGGUUCUCC
RNAcentral lists this unclassified non-coding RNA (287 nucleotides) under Malassezia restricta. RNAcentral describes it as "partial internal transcribed spacer region". The stretch from base 1 to 46 matches the Rfam family "Eukaryotic small subunit ribosomal RNA", at positions 1786 to 1831 of the family's 1831-position model. The record is from RNAcentral. Lineage: Eukaryota; Fungi; Basidiomycota; Malasseziomycetes; Malasseziales; Malasseziaceae.